ACAGACAGACACAUAGACGUGUGUGUGUGUGUGUGCUCACUGAGCACAGCCGUACGCACGAGACAGCCGUGGCUUUCUCAUCGGUUCUUUUUGUUUCCUGCUUUGCUUGCCCCCCCCUUCCACUCUUAUCUCUCCCUCCCACCAAGCACACCGCGUGUGCACGUGCCCGAACACGAUGGGCAAAGAAAAGAGGACCGUCGCGGCACCCCACAAGGCCGACAGCACGGCGAGCCCCACCGCGCCGGAAAUAGUGAAGUACAUGACGCCGUUUAGCUUUUCGGGCGAGACGCUGGAGGCGGCGGGUCGCGUCUACCGCCUCCCGAGCAGGGCCGACUUCUACACCUUUCGCGCUUUCGCCGACUCGCUGGACGGCUUCACCCUGAGCUACAACCGCGCCAAUGAGGUGAUGGUGUGGGAAAAGAAGUUGCCCAACGAGCCAAUGCACGUCAUCAAGGUGUUUGGCAUCUUUGCCAAGACCAAGGACAACCCCAGCGGUGGCGCGACCCCGAGGGAGCUCUACAACCUCUUGCAAGACCCUAUUUUCCGUGAGCAGUGGGACGAGUACCGCCAGGAGGCGUUCCGCGUCUCGAGCCUGAGCGCUAACACGGACAUUGGCUACUACGCGGCUAAGAGCCCGAUGCCACUCGUGGCGAAUCGCGACUUUGUGAACCAGCGCAUGUGGCAUGAGGCGGGCCGAGACGAGUACGUUAUCUUCAAUACAUCGGUGCCGCACUCGACGGUGCCACCAACGUAUCAGAAGGACGCACACCGCAACAAGCACGGGCCGUACGUCCGUGCCAUCUCGAAGCUCACGGGGUAUCUGAUCCGCCCCUGGAAGAACCCAAAGAGUGGCGAAGUCGAGGGCGCGAGUCUCACGUACAUUACGCAGACCGACCCGGGUGGCUGGAUCCCGGUAAGCCUGACAAACUACAUCGCCACCAAGUUCGCCCCGAACACGAUGAAGAACGUAGCGCAGGCGCUGCCAAAGUUCCGCCUGUGGCUCAAGGAGCAGCUGGAGGCAGGCACGUACACAAAGGACUGGGAUCUGACCCCCGAGUGGUGGGUCGAGGAUGGCAGCGACGACGCCGUCAAGAAUGAGACGGUUGAGUUUGCCAUUAAAAAGUGGAGUGAGGAGUCCGCCAUGAAGUAGUUGGGCGCGGUGCACUUGGGAUCAUCAACUUCGCACCGAUGUGUGUGUGUGUGUGUGUCUGUGUAUGCUCUGUCAGCAUUACGAGGGUGACAGAGAGAGAGGAAGCCGAGAGGGGGGGCGGGGCGCUGUGUCGUCGCCAAGGAUACCGUUGCUACUUGCCGUGUGUGUAGCCCUGCUUGGCCACCCAUUGCUUCCCCCCUCCUCCUCCCAUUCAAUAUGAUGCUGCAUCGUUGUCUCCAACUUGCUCUCUUCUUAUCACGGGCGCACUCAUCAUACUGGUGCUUUUCUCUAUUGGCGACUACGACGCGAGAUAUCGUGCGCCUUUACAUGGAUCGGGUGUCUUUUGUAGGUGUGUUCAUCUUGCACGCGUGACCCUCUGACCUCUCCCACCAUUCACACCCACACACUCGCACCCACUCUGACCUCCCCACUCCCCUCCUCUCAUCCAUAUCGUUUCUUUUUUUUCCCCAUCAUGGAGGAGGUGGGCAGGGGCCAUGGACAUGCGUGUGCAUUCUGUGGCGAUAAUGAUAGGAAGAGCAGCAGCAACUGGUGCACACAUGUCGAGGAGGAGGUGGUGGUGAGUAGUGGUGGGCGGUCAGGGACGAGGGAGCACAGGGGCGCAAACCUCACGUUCCCUUCGUUUUGGUCUCUCUUGUUUUCGGUUCAGAUGAAUGCACGCACUCACAAACACGCGUACCCGGACACGCUUUCUCGAAGUUGGUGAAGCUGCCUUUCGUUAUCUUCCCCUUGCUCAGCGUGCUCUGUGCAAAAGUCAGUUGCAUCCUCCCUCUCCCCGCGAUUUCGGCGUUGCUGCCUCCAGUGCCCCUCCGCG
RNAcentral lists this unclassified non-coding RNA (1982 nucleotides) under Leishmania donovani. Its description in RNAcentral is "gene:LdHU3.11.1090(CDS-product:START_domain_conta ining_protein_putative)". Lineage: Eukaryota; Euglenozoa; Kinetoplastea; Trypanosomatida; Trypanosomatidae. The record is from RNAcentral.